CAAGAUUGUUUUCAAUUUCAACAUGAAGUCGUGAAGAAAUGUAAAAUAGUGGAAACUGUUGUUCAUCACAUCCGGUAUGGAUUGCAACGAAAACAGAUUUGAGUUUCUUCAAUAAGACUGACAAGAAAGAAAAUGAAGAUGAUCAGGAUCGAUGAGUGAUUCAGGUGAAGAAUUCGAAGAUGUAGGAAAAUUCAAUAGCGGAAACUGGUGAGAAGAAAAUGCAGAUGAUAAUCAGAAGGGUGACCACCAGGAAGGUGAAGAUGUAGAAAGAGUCCAUAGCGGUGAGUUGAAAGUUUACGUAAACUGUAAGUUGGAUAAUAUAGACUGAAUCAAGUUGGAUGAAUGGAUUGAAGAUAGGCUACAAUGAAAUUUAAUGUCCACCCUCUGGCAUCAUCUGGGUAAGAAUACUGUUUCAAGCAUAAGACAAAUCUCUCUUAUGAGAACUGCAGGAACUCAACAUUGCAUCUUCGAAUCCUUCAAUCUUCAUCAUUAAAGGUUCAUUAGGCAAUCCAAUCACCUGUCAAAAUAUUUCAAUAUGGCGGUUGGUUGGCAAACAACGUUUUCCUUUCCUAAUUUGGAACUUUCGGAAGCUUUUUCUGAAUAUUUGACAUUGAUUGGUGUUAAAUAUCGUUUAGUUUUUUUGAUAUAUAUAGUGAAUAGUGAGAACUAAGUUUUAUUCCGAAAGAAAAAUGCCUGUAACAAGUAUUAUGGUUAAUUGUGGAAGUCGUGCAGAUCGGUACCAUAAGGAUUUUUUCGUAUACCUACUGUGACAAAAUCUGUGCAUUACCUACAUAUUAACGAAGAAGUGAUAUGAUAUGUGGUUAGCAGCUCAAGAGAGAAGAUCAUUUCAUAACGGGUAGGUACCUAAGAAGAAUAUCUAUGUGUCUGUAUUCAUAUACCUAUAAGUGAAACUGAAUAUACAGUGAUUUAUUUCGAAUACGAUUUUAUAAAAGUAUAACUUACUAAAAAUAUGUAAAAUUUUCUAUUCAUUUUUUAGUUUAACGAAGGAAGUGAUCUGGGUGAUACAGAGCAAGCACAGCAAAGCAGAUUGAGAGGCUGUGCUAAACAAACAGACUUGACAAUGACCAUGUUGAGUACACAAGUUGAGCAGCUCAAAUUUGCCAGCAGAAAAAUAGAAGACUUAGAAAAGAAAGUUGAAAACACUCCUCGGUGACUAAUGGACAAUAUCAAUAAUGUAUUUUUGUGGAAGUAUUAUUGUGGGUUUGAUCAUAAAUUCAUUAAAGCAGCUAUUUUUCCAGAAAUAGAACCUCACAUUUCAUCAACAUCAACAACAGUACUGAGUCCUAUCAAUAAAAUGUUACUCACAUUAGUAAAAUUGAUGUAUGUUUGAAUAAUAAAAAUAUUUGAGAGAAACUCAA
This is a long non-coding RNA of Coccinella septempunctata (seven-spotted ladybird), 1379 nucleotides long. RefSeq lists it as uncharacterized. The transcript is spliced from 6 exons. The record is from RefSeq and is a predicted model, not a curated record. NCBI's taxonomy places the organism in Eukaryota, Metazoa, Arthropoda, Insecta, Coleoptera, Coccinellidae.